This 79-nucleotide transfer RNA is filed under the name Sphaerodactylus townsendi. RNAcentral's name for it is "tRNA-Ala". The stretch from base 11 to 66 matches the Rfam family "tRNA", at positions 9 to 63 of the family's 71-position model. From Rfam's summary of the family: Transfer RNA (tRNA) molecules are approximately 80 nucleotides in length. Their secondary structure includes four short double-helical elements and three loops (D, anti-codon, and T loops). Further hydrogen bonds mediate the characteristic L-shaped molecular structure. tRNAs have two regions of fundamental functional importance: the anti-codon, which is responsible for specific mRNA codon recognition, and the 3' end, to which the tRNAs corresponding amino acid is attached (by aminoacyl-tRNA synthetases). tRNAs cope with the degeneracy of the genetic code in two manners: having more than one tRNA (with a specific anti-codon) for a particular amino acid; and 'wobble' base-pairing, i.e. permitting non-standard base-pairing at the 3rd anti-codon position. Lineage: Eukaryota; Metazoa; Chordata; Lepidosauria; Squamata; Sphaerodactylidae. The record is from RNAcentral.
UGGCUGCCUCAGCUUAGUGGUAGAGCAUCUGCUUGGCAUGCAGACAGUCCCAAGUUCAAUCCUCAGCAUCCCCAGUUAA